UACGAAGGGGGCUAGCGUUGCUCGGAAUCACUAGGCGUAAAGGGUGCGUAGGCGGGUCUUUAAGUCAGGGGUGAAAUCCUGGAGCUCAACUCCAGAACUGCCUUUGAUACUGAGGAUCUUGAGUUCGGGAGAGGUGAGUGGAACUGCGAGUGUAGAGGUGAAAUUCGUAGAUAUUCGCAAGAACACCAGUGGCGAAGGCGGCUCACUGGCCCGAUACUGACGCUGAGGCACGAAAGCGUGGGGAGCAAACAGG
This 253-nucleotide ribosomal RNA is filed under the name uncultured bacterium. RNAcentral describes it as "partial 16S ribosomal RNA". It matches the Rfam family "Bacterial small subunit ribosomal RNA", at positions 524 to 776 of the family's 1533-position model. The record is from RNAcentral.